CUCAGGAUUUCAGGAGAUGAUGAUGAUGGGAAUGGUGGCAUCUUCUGGAAAGUGGCCUUUGGUUCAAGUUCAGCUCAAUCCACCCUUCUAAUAGGUCAGCACUUUUCUGUCUUGUUAGUUGUUUCUAUCAGUGGGCCAAUCUCUGUAGUUAGAGGUGGAAAUCAAAUCAUAAUAAAUUGACUUGUUCCAUGAAGAAAUUUUUAUAUGCAAUGUGUUACAUAUCCGAGCUUCUUAUCAAAUGCUUACAAGUAUUAUUUUUUUUUAUUGAAAUGGAAUGGAGGAAGUGGGAUGCUUCCCCCAGAUGUUCUUUGCUGUGUGCACGAAACAUUUCUACACUCUAGAGUUCUCUAGGACCCAGUUAAAUUAAUAAUAUUAGUAAAACUGUUUACUUCAUAUAAAAAAGUCGAAAUUAUUCUUGAGCUGGGAGGAGGAUACACACAUUUUUUUAUAUUAUUGGAUGGAUAUUAUGUCACUUAAGGUUAUUUUGAUCAUUUUAUAAAUUUUUUCGAUGUGUCAUUUGGAUUCC
Molecule: long non-coding RNA, 526 nt
Filed under: Phoenix dactylifera (date palm)
Lineage: Eukaryota; Viridiplantae; Streptophyta; Magnoliopsida; Arecales; Arecaceae
Description: long non-coding RNA (PDAC_LNC022519)
Source: RNAcentral